CUUAUGUAUCUCUCAAGAUACUGCACACAAUUUAUCAGUACUCUAACUCUUAUCUCUUCGGCUUACAACAAAAUCUUCUUCAAGUUAGCUUGCAUGAGACUAGGUUUUACCGUGUCUAGUAUUUUCUUCAAUAUUCGCAUUCUCCAGUUUUUCCCGAAAUAAAGACUAAAACCAACUGCAAGAACGAAAUAACUUAUAGCAUUCAGUAAAGACUCGUUGUUGUACCGUUAGCUGUUGACAACCAACAAAGUCGACAACUGGCAAAGCAACACCCACUUCCUCUGGAAGGAAAACUAACGGAGAAACCGUAGAACAGACAUAUAUAAAAUCACAAAAGUUUGCAGACCAAUGAUGAACCUCUGAAUCACGGCAGCAAGUCAGCAGCGCGGAGAUGGUGUCUUCUACAUCGGCCGGGCGAUACAUUGAUACAGACAGCGAGGGCGCGUGUUGCUGAGGUACAAUGAGGGAAACACAAUACAGCAAGGAGGGCAAUUCCCAAGUCGUUAUCUACCCACGCAUCCUGCAGAAGAAUAGUAUACACCCAGCAGCUGUUUGGCAGGAAACAACGAAAGUGGAGUCCGAACAAUUAGAGACCUCUUUCUCAUUCAUCAGGAAAGCCAAAUGAAGAGGCAACAUCCGCAAGAUACACUUUGAACUCUGAAACAGCAUUCCCAAAAAUAUAAAUAAGCAUAAGUUUGCAACAAUAGCUGAUUCUAUGUGAAUCAUGACUAAACUAUUUUAUUAUACCUCUAUCUUUC
This is a long non-coding RNA of Corticium candelabrum, 758 nucleotides long. RefSeq lists it as uncharacterized. NCBI's taxonomy places the organism in Eukaryota, Metazoa, Porifera, Homoscleromorpha, Homosclerophorida, Plakinidae. The transcript is spliced from 3 exons. The record is from RefSeq and is a predicted model, not a curated record.